GACGUUAGCGGCGGACGGGUGAGUAACACGUGGAUAACCUACCUAUAAGACUGGGAUAACUUCGGGAAACCGGAGCUAAUACCGGAUAAUAUAUUGAACCGCAUGGUUCAAUAGUGAAAGACGGUUUUGCUGUCACUUAUAGAUGGAUCCGCGCCGCAUUAGCUAGUUGGUAAGGUAACGGCUUACCAAGGCGACGAUGCGUAGCCGACCUGAGAGGGUGAUCGGCCACACUGGAACUGAGACACGGUCCAGACUCCUACGGGAGGCAGCAGUAGGGAAUCUUCCGCAAUGGGCGAAAGCCUGACGGAGCAACGCCGCGUGAGUGGUGAAGGUCUUCGGAUCGUAAAACUCUGUUAUUAGGGAAGAACAAAUGUGUAAGUAACUAUGCACGUCUUGACGGUACCUAAUCAGAAAGCCACGGCUAACUACGUGCCAGCAGCCGCGGUAAUACGUAGGUGGCAAGCGUUAUCCGGAAUUAUUGGGCGUAAAGCGCGCGUAGGCGGUUUUUUAAGUCUGAUGUGAAAGCCCACGGCUCAACCGUGGAGGGUCAUUGGAAACUGGAAAACUUGAGUGCAGAAGAGGAAAGUGGAAUUCCAUGUGUAGCGGUGAAAUGCGCAGAGAUAUGGAGGAACACCAGUGGCGAAGGCGACUUUCUGGUCUGUAACUGACGCUGAUGUGCGAAAGCGUGGGGAUCAAACAGGAUUAGAUACCCUGGUAGUCCACGCCGUAAACGAUGAGUGCUAAGUGUUAGGGGGUUUCCGCCCCUUAGUGCUGCAGCUAACGCAUUAAGCACUCCGCCUGGGAAGUACGACCGCAAGGUUG
RNAcentral lists this ribosomal RNA (822 nucleotides) under uncultured Staphylococcus sp. Its description in RNAcentral is "bacterial SSU rRNA". It matches the Rfam family "Bacterial small subunit ribosomal RNA", at positions 88 to 896 of the family's 1533-position model. The record is from RNAcentral. Lineage: Bacteria; Bacillati; Bacillota; Bacilli; Caryophanales; Staphylococcaceae.